This is a long non-coding RNA of Camelus dromedarius (Arabian camel), 665 nucleotides long. RefSeq lists it as uncharacterized. The record is from RefSeq and is a predicted model, not a curated record. The transcript has 2 exons. NCBI's taxonomy places the organism in Eukaryota, Metazoa, Chordata, Mammalia, Artiodactyla, Camelidae.
GCUGCGGUGAGGUCACCAAGGUGGCACCUGGGGCCGGAAGGUGACCUCGGCUAAGCCAGCCGCUAACUCAGGUCUAUCCCCUGCGUUGUAGCAGAGGCUCCAAGAUUCAGCAAAUAAUCUGGUGGUCCUCUCAAACAACCAUGUGAAACUGUGCUUCAGUUACAACUUCUAUAUCUGGAUUAUGACUCAGACGCAGAAUUGUUUAUUGGUCCUCAAAUGCCUCUUCAACUACCAAACAUACCCAGAAAAAAGAUAACCCCAAGCUAAUGUCCAGAUUCCGAACCAUCUUGUUUGACUGCAUCUGAUGCUUGGGACAGUUGAUUUUCACCAAAGAGUAAAGGUGAAGAGCACGGCAUCCUUUUUGUUUUUCAGUCCCUGACUCAACUCCUUUUGCAACCGUGUUCUGGGAGCCAGUGUCUCAGAUGUAUCACUUUCUGAAUACAAUCCCUCCUGUAUGUCAAACGGGCGGGAUAUUAGCCAAGACGCCCGAACUGGGCACAUACCUGAACUUCAUCAUCCUUUCGGAUGGGCAUGGAUCGAACAUUGUACUUCUGUCUCAGCUCUUUGGAAAGAGGAGAAGACAUAAUCUUCCUGCGAAUGUGGGAAGGUGCAUUGAAAUGCCUUUUACGGUUCUUGCUUCGGUCAGAAGUCACGAAGGGAUUGAA